GAUGAACGCUAGCGGGAGGCCUAACACAUGCAAGCCGAGCGGUAUUGUUUCUUCGGAAAUGAGAGAGCGGCGUACGGGUGCGGAACACGUGUGCAACCUGCCUUUAUCUGGGGGAUAGCCUUUCGAAAGGAAGAUUAAUACUCCAUAACAUAUUGAUUGGCAUCAAUUAAUAUUGAAAGCUCCGGCGGAUAGAGAUGGGCACGCGCAAGAUUAGCUAGUUGGUGAGGUAACGGCUCACCAAGGCGAUGAUCUUUAGGGGGCCUGAGAGGGUGAUCCCCCACACUGGUACUGAGACACGGACCAGACUCCUACGGGAGGCAGCAGUGAGGAAUAUUGGUCAAUGGGUGCAAGCCUGAACCAGCCAUCCCGCGUGAAGGACGACUGCCCUAUGGGUUGUAAACUUCUUUUGCAUAGGGAUAAACCUACCCUCGUGAGGGUAGCUGAAGGUACUAUACGAAUAAGCACCGGCUAACUCCGUGCCAGCAGCCGCGGUAAUACGGAGGGUGCAAGCGUUAUCCGGAUUUAUUGGGUUUAAAGGGUCCGUAGGCGGACUUAUAAGUCAGUGGUGAAAGCCUGUCGCUUAACGAUAGAACUGCCAUUGAUACUGUAAGUCUUGAGUAUAUUUGAGGUAGCUGGAAUAAGUAGUGUAGCGGUGAAAUGCAUAGAUAUUACUUAGAACACCAAUUGCGAAGGCAGGUUACCAAGAUAUAACUGACGCUGAGGGACGAAAGCGUGGGGAGCGAACAGGAUUAGAUACCCUGGUAGUCCACGCCGUAAACGAUGCUAACUCGUUUUUGGGCUUUAGGGUUCAGAGACCAAGCGAAAGUGAUAAGUUAGCCACCUGGGGAGUACGCUCGCAAGAGUGAAACUCAAAGGAAUUGACGGGGCCCGCACAAGCGGUGGAUUAUGUGGUUUAAUUCGAUGAUACGCGAGGAACCUUACCAAGACUUAAAUGGGAAUUGACAGCUUUAGAAAUAGAGCUUUCUUCGGACGAUUUUCAAGGUGCUGCAUGGUUGUCGUCAGCUCGUGCCGUGAGGUGUUAGGUUAAGUCCUGCAACGAGCGCAACCCCUGUCACUAGUUGCCAUCAUUCAGUUGGGGACUCUAGUGAGACUGCCUACGCAAGUAGAGAGGAAGGUGGGGAUGACGUCAAAUCAUCACGGCCCUUACGUCUUGGGCCACACACGUAAUACAAUGGCCGGUACAGAGGGCAGCUACACAGCGAUGUGAUGCAAAUCUCGAAAGCCGGUCUCAGUUCGGAUUGGAGUCUGCAACUCGACUCUAUGAAGCUGGAAUCGCUAGUAAUCGCGCAUCAGCCAUGGCGCGGUGAAUACGUUCCCGGGCCU
This 1344-nucleotide ribosomal RNA is filed under the name uncultured bacterium. RNAcentral describes it as "bacterial SSU rRNA". It matches the Rfam family "Bacterial small subunit ribosomal RNA", at positions 28 to 1381 of the family's 1533-position model. The record is from RNAcentral.